UAGCUUUAAGACUUAUAUUUAAAGUUUUACCUGCCCGGUGGAGUUCUUAACGGCCGCAGUACUUUGACUGUGCUAAGGUAGCAUAAUAAAUUGGCUUUUAAUUAAAGUCGGGUAUGAAAGGGGUUUUGGAAGAUAGCUGUCUCAAAAAUAUUUUAUUUAAAAUUAAUUAAUGAGUGAAAAUUCUCAUAUUUAUUACAUUAGACGAGAAGACCCUAAGAGUUAUAAUCAAAAUGAAUUUAUUUCAUAUAUCAUUUUUGUUGGGGCAACAAAGACUGGAUAAAACCGUCAUAAAAUAAUUUUAACAUAACCAAUAGUAUUUAAAAAGAAAUAAACUACCUUAGGGAUAACAGCAUAAUUAAUUUUUAGAUUGUGACCUCGAUGUUGGAUUAAGGACUUAGUUUACUAGCCGUAAACUAAGAUAGUUCUGUUCGAACUGUAGUACCUU
RNAcentral lists this ribosomal RNA (445 nucleotides) under Vertigo bollesiana. Its description in RNAcentral is "partial 16S ribosomal RNA". It matches the Rfam family "Archaeal large subunit ribosomal RNA", at positions 1919 to 2666 of the family's 2987-position model. Lineage: Eukaryota; Metazoa; Mollusca; Gastropoda; Stylommatophora; Vertiginidae. The record is from RNAcentral.